This 334-nucleotide ribosomal RNA is filed under the name uncultured eukaryote. RNAcentral describes it as "partial 18S ribosomal RNA". It matches the Rfam family "Eukaryotic small subunit ribosomal RNA", at positions 1470 to 1796 of the family's 1831-position model. The record is from RNAcentral.
CCCUUAGAUGUCCGGGGCCGCACGCGCGCUACACUGAAGGAAUCAGCGUGGCUUUCUCCCUGACCCGAAAGGGUUGGGAAACCCGUUGAAUCUCCUUCGUGAUAGGGAUUGGGGCUUGAAAUUGUUCCCCAUGAACGAGGAAUUCCCAGUAAGCGUGAGUCAUAAGCUCGCGUUGAUUACGUCCCUGCCCUUUGUACACACCGCCCGUCGCUACUACCGAUUGAACGGUUUAGUGAGGGCCUCGGAUUGGUCUCGGCCCGCUCUUUACCGGGCGGCGCCGUUGGUCGAGAAGACGCUCGAACUUGAUCGUUUAGAGGAAGUAAAAGUCGUAACA